GAUGAACGCUGGCGGCGUGCUUAACACAUGCAAGUCGAACGAAGCACUCUAUUUGAUUUCCUUCGGUACUGAGUAUUUUGUGACUGAGUGGCGGACGGGUGAGUAACGCGAGGGUAACCUGCCUUGUACAGGGGGAGAACAGUUGGAAACGGGUGCUACUACUGCAUAAGGGCGCAUGAACGCAUGAGGCAGUGGGAAAAACUCCGGUGGUAUAAGAUGGACCCGCGUUGGAUUAGCUAGUUGGUGAGGUAACGGCCCACCAAGGCGACGAGCCAUGGCCGACCUGGGAGCCUGACCGGUCGCAUUGGCACUGCGCCACGGCCCCAACUCCUACGCGGGGCAGCAGUGUGUAAUACUGCACACUGAGCGAUAGCCUGAUGCAGCGACGCCGCGUGAGCCAAGAAGUAUUUCGGUAUGUACAGCUCUAUCAGCAGGGAAGAUAAUGACGGUACCUGACUAAGAAGCACCGGCUAACUACGUG
Molecule: ribosomal RNA, 481 nt
Filed under: uncultured bacterium
Lineage: Bacteria
Description: partial 16S ribosomal RNA
Rfam family: Bacterial small subunit ribosomal RNA
Source: RNAcentral